RNAcentral lists this long non-coding RNA (352 nucleotides) under Glycine max (soybean). RNAcentral's name for it is "long non-coding RNA (GMAX_LNC000651)". The record is from RNAcentral. Lineage: Eukaryota; Viridiplantae; Streptophyta; Magnoliopsida; Fabales; Fabaceae.
AUCAUUGCCUGAGGCAAAACACAAGCUUAGCCAUGAUUCCCACAAACACUCUUUCUUUUAAGCAUUUGAUUCACAGUUGUUGACAACAUCUUCUCCUUAGAUCCAUUCUUGUCCCCCACUAAUGGCUUCCGAACGAAUAGAAUGAUAUAUGAUCUAUAAAGGUGGAUGUGAUGAGAAGGUUGGGAGGAAGAAACAUCUUGUCUCCAUCUAAGAAAAAGGGAUGGAGUUGAAGUCUCAUUGUUGCAAGCUUCCUUCUACAAUUGGAGUGUAGGUGUUGUUGCCUCGCAUAGCUUUUGCUUGCUUUGAUCAUAUUAUGUUUUGAUGAUUCCAUAUUCUUAUAUUUUAUUUUGAU